AUGAAGGUGCAGCAGGAGAGGAACAAGCUCCAAGAUGCCCACACCCAGCUAGGAGAAGAGCUGAAAGAUGUUCGGGCCCAGCUGUCUGGCUCCGUGAAGGAGAAUCAGCGGCUUCCUCGCGGCAUUUAUAGUGUGCUCACAGGUCGCCCUGCGGAGGAAAUGCCCGGUUCAACGGGUGACCAACUUCCCGAGCUGGGGCAACUGCUCGAACGUGUUCGGCAGGCGAUGAGUGGCGUCGUUCAGGCCUUAUGGCCUUCCGUCUCCCUACCCGAGGGCCUUGGAGGGCUUGCUGAGAAGCUUCAGGGAGUACGGUGA
RNAcentral lists this ribosomal RNA (315 nucleotides) under Triticum aestivum (bread wheat). RNAcentral describes it as "partial small subunit ribosomal RNA". The record is from RNAcentral. Lineage: Eukaryota; Viridiplantae; Streptophyta; Magnoliopsida; Poales; Poaceae.